GCGCACCAGGCGAGAAACCUCCGCAAUACACGAAAGUGCGACGGGGCCAUCCCGAGUGCCGUCCGCUGAGGACGGCUUUUCCCCAGUGUACACAGCUGGGGGAAUAAGGAGAGGGCAAGCCUGGUGUCAGCCGCCGCGGUAAUACCAGCUCUCCGAGUGGUGGGGACGCUUAUUGGCCUAAAGCAUCCGUAGCCGGCUGGGCAAGUCCUCCGUUAAAUCCAACGAUUCAAUCGUUGGGCUGC
Molecule: ribosomal RNA, 242 nt
Filed under: uncultured microorganism
Description: partial 16S ribosomal RNA
Rfam family: Archaeal small subunit ribosomal RNA
Source: RNAcentral